This 1123-nucleotide unclassified non-coding RNA is filed under the name Hevea brasiliensis (rubber tree). Lineage: Eukaryota; Viridiplantae; Streptophyta; Magnoliopsida; Malpighiales; Euphorbiaceae. The record is from RNAcentral.
AAAAAUAUUGGCCACAGGGUCUAAGCCUCGAGAAAUCUUAGAAAAGAGCCUAUACAUCCUUGAUAAAUCUUCAACCUUAUCAUCUCUCAGUAACGCAUGGCAUCCAGAGUGCUCCUUCUCAAGAAGUUGAGUGGCAUACACAGACAACAACUCAUGUUGCACUUUCUCAAGCAACUUCGUCUCGCUGCUUGAAUGGAGAUAAUGAGAGACCCUAUCCUUCUCCCGUUUCAAGCACUCCUCGGCUUUCAGCAUAUAAUCCGGACAUGAAUCUUCGAGGAUCCAAUUAGAAGCUUUGCGAGAAUAAUAAGCCGCUGUGUCCUUGAGCAUUGCAGCUUCAAAAUCAUUCUCAUAAUAAUCCAUUAACCCCAUUCCAAUUUCGACAAAUAUAUCAAGCACAUUCUUAAGUAGAGCUCUGUCAAUUUGCUCUCCCUCACGCUCUUGAUCAAUCAGAGAUAUAACAGCAUCCCUGACUUUUCCAUUCAACUCUUGGUAGACCUGAUCGCGGAAGCAAGUUAGUCCAACUUCAUUAAGCCCCGGCAGAGAUCUCCGGGCAAUGAAAUACCGGUCAAGGUAAUGGAAGAAUCUUGACAACCAUCUGACCAUGACUUUAUGAUUUGACCACCUUUUUACCAACUCUCGCAACAUAAACUCGUCAUGUUUUUCUCUCAAAGAAGGCAAUACCGUUGUUGUGAUAUAUUCUUCAAAAGCUUCACGAUAUUUGUCAUACAGCUGUUGAGAAUAAUCAUGUGGGGGCUUUUGAGUACACAUGUUGUAAAUUGUCGUAUAUAGCAUCAUAUAGUCCUCUGAGCUGAAUUGAGGCUCAGGCAGCCCUUCUAGAAUGUUCUUCAGCUUUGUAAUGCCCCUUUGCAUGAAGUCCCAUCCAUGUUCCAGAUCGAUUGUGCUUCGUUGGUUCAUUGUGAUUUCAGUAUCUUCACACUUUCACAGAAUGCAACCCUACACAAAUUCUAAGCACCUGUGGCCCUAUUAUGUCACCGGAGAGCGAAUGAAUUUUCCAAAAUGGUGAUCGAGAAUCUAGACCCAACGAGGGCACAAGACGGAGCUGCCAGGAGCCAUGAUGAGAAGAAGAGAAUCGGUGAGAUGUGAAUCACUAUUUUCCCUUUUA